Molecule: unclassified non-coding RNA, 347 nt
Filed under: Hevea brasiliensis (rubber tree)
Lineage: Eukaryota; Viridiplantae; Streptophyta; Magnoliopsida; Malpighiales; Euphorbiaceae
Source: RNAcentral
UUCAUUGAUUCCCAUUUUGAUGCCAAACCAGAUGGCCCUCCUGUUGUGUUGUUGGAUUCUGAGUUGCCCACAUCAAGCAAUGAUACCUUAGCAGAGGUGAUGUUCUUCUCCGCAGGUCUAGCAUUGGCAUGUCUACUCUGUUCUCUAAAGGCAGCAUAUUUGUUGCUAAUGGCUUCUUUACUGACGCCAUAUGAGCGGCCCUCUUCUUUCAAAGGUGUUGAUGUGCUUCCCUUUGUAGCAUCAGUGACUAAACCAGUUGUUGCCUUCAUUUCAACACCAGUCCUAUCUGCACCAUUGCUGCCAGACUCCAUGUCCACACUGUUAAAGUUUCUUGCCAGUGGGAUAAC